AGAGUUUGAUCAUGGCUCAGAACGAACGCUGGCGGCAGGCUUAACACAUGCAAGUCGAACGCUCGUAGCAAUACGGGAGUGGCAGACGGGUGAGUAACGCGUGGGAACAUACCAUCCGGUUCGGAAUAGCUCAGGGCCACUUGGAUUAAUACCGGAUACGGCUGUGAGGCGCCAGAUUUAUCGCCGGAGGAUUGGCCAGCGUUCGAUUAGCUUGUUGGUGAGGUAACGGCUCACCAAGGCGAUGAUCGAUAGCUGGUCUGAGAGGAUGAUCAGCCACAUUGGGACUGAGACACGGCCACCACUCCUACGGGAGGCAGCCAAGGGGAAUAUUGGACAAUGGGCGCAAGCCUGAUCCGGCCAUGCCGCGUGAGUGAUGAGCCUUAGGGUUGUCCGGCUCUUUCGCUCGGGACGAUAAUGACGGUACCGAGAUAAGAAGCCACGGCUAACUUCGUGCCAGCAGCCGCGGUAAUACGAAGGGGGCUAGCGUUGUUCGGAAUUACUGGGCGUCCGGCGCGUGUAGGCGGGUCUUUAAGUCAGGGGUGCCAUGCCAAGGCUCAACCUUGGAACUGCCUUUGAUACUGGAGAUCUUGAGUCCGGAAGAGGUGAGUGGAAUUGCGAGUGUAGAGGUGCCAUUCGUAGAUAUUCGCAAGAACACCAAAGGCGAAGGCGGCUCACUGGUCCGGAACUGACGCUGAGACGCGCCAGCGUGGGGAGCCAACAGGAUUAGAUACCAUGGUAGUCCGCGCUGUCCGCGAUGGAUGCUAGCCGUUGGGGAGCUUGCUCUUCCGAGGCGCAGCUAACGCUUUAAGCAUCCGGCCUGGGGAGUACGGUCGCAAGAUUCCGACUCCGAGGAAUUGACGGGGCCAGCACAAGCGUGGAGCAUGUGGUUUAUUUCGAAGCAACGCGCAGAACCUUACCAGCUUUUGACAUGUCCUGGACGGAUUGCAGAGGAUGC
Molecule: ribosomal RNA, 955 nt
Filed under: uncultured bacterium
Lineage: Bacteria
Description: bacterial SSU rRNA
Rfam family: Bacterial small subunit ribosomal RNA
Source: RNAcentral